This is a long non-coding RNA of Dermochelys coriacea (leatherback sea turtle), 366 nucleotides long. RefSeq lists it as uncharacterized. NCBI's taxonomy places the organism in Eukaryota, Metazoa, Chordata, Testudines, Dermochelyidae. The record is from RefSeq and is a predicted model, not a curated record. The transcript is spliced from 3 exons.
CUUUUCUUUUUGUGAAUACAGACUAACCCAUCUGCUACUCUGAAACAAUUCACUUACUGAAAAUGGUUCGAAGGACUGGAAAAACAUACCUUCAAUUCUCUCUUUACAUGAAAGUAGUAUAGAAAAUUUGGAAUGUUUUCGAAAUUGGAAAGAACUUUAAUUACGAUUGAAAAAAGGAAAAACUAUCAAUGAAGAAAAUUUAUGUGUGAUCAAGGAAAAAGAAGAAUAUUGGCAACAAAUAUUAGAGCGUCUGAUUGCUUUAGUGAGAGUUCUUGGUGGGCAAAAUUUAGCAUUCCGCAGCCACAGUAGAAAUGAAAAAUUAUACACUCCAGGUAAUGGAAACUUUUUAAAAUUUGUUGAAUACCU